GAUGAACGCUGGCGGCGUGCCUAAUACAUGCAAGUAGAACGCUGAAGGAGGAGCUUGCUCUUCUGGAUGAGUUGCGAACGGGUGAGUAACGCGUAGGUAACCUGCCUGGUAGCGGGGGAUAACUAUUGGAAACGAUAGCUAAUACCGCAUGACAACAGUUAUUGCAUGAUAACUGUUUAAAAGGGGCAACUGCUCCACUACCAGAUGGACCUGCGUUGUAUUAGCUAGUUGGUGAGGUAACGGCUCACCAAGGCGACGAUACAUAGCCGACCUGAGAGGGUGAUCGGCCACACUGGGACUGAGACACGGCCCAGACUCCUACGGGAGGCAGCAGUAGGGAAUCGUCGGCAAUGGACGGAAGUCUGACCGAGCAACGCCGCGUGAGUGAAGAAGGUUUUCGGAUCGUAAAGCUCUGUUGUAAGAGAAGAACGAGUGUGAGAGUGGAAAGUUCACACUGUGACGGUAUCUUACCAGAAAGGGACGGCUAACUACGUG
RNAcentral lists this ribosomal RNA (495 nucleotides) under uncultured bacterium. Its description in RNAcentral is "partial 16S ribosomal RNA". It matches the Rfam family "Bacterial small subunit ribosomal RNA", at positions 28 to 507 of the family's 1533-position model. The record is from RNAcentral.